RNAcentral lists this long non-coding RNA (705 nucleotides) under Lupinus angustifolius (narrow-leaved blue lupine). Its description in RNAcentral is "long non-coding RNA (LANG_LNC002809)". The record is from RNAcentral. Lineage: Eukaryota; Viridiplantae; Streptophyta; Magnoliopsida; Fabales; Fabaceae.
GCUUAUAAGAAACAUAUGUUCCGUAAUAAUUGAAAGAAGAAGUGAUAGUAAUGGUAUACUUAUCUGAAAACACGUGUUAGUGUUAGUGUCACAAACUUACACGCCAUAUAACAUCAUCUAUAUAAAACUCUAAACCAAUAAUAAAUCCCCUCCCCUCGUCACUAGAGAAUUAAUCCAUCAUGUUGAAUUUGCGGUGGCCGGAGCUGAAUCUAUCGCCGUGGAGGUUGCCGGUGUUGGACAUGUCGUAUUGGAACACAAGUUGGAACCUUCAAUGGUUGAGUUUGUCUUUGUUGGAUGAUUUGUUAUGGGCUUGUCUCACUUUUCUGGAGUCCUUUGUCUUGCUCUCAAUGCUUUGCUACUUUUUCCUAUGUUGCGGUUGUACUCUCUAACUUUCAUUCUGGUAUCUUAAAUCAUGUUUCGGAAAACAUGUCAUACAAUUAAAAAUUACAUAUUUUUUUAUUUUUUAUUUUUUUGUUUUAAUAUUAUUGGUCUGAAACGUAGUUUAGAAUAACAUUUCAUUCUCUAUAAUUUAAUUGAGAAAUAUACAUCUAGUGUACCUACAGUUUUAAUAUUUUUUUUGCACAGGAUAAUGAUAAGGAACACUAAGUAUAGAAGAUUUCUAGUUAGUUAUACUUGUAAAGUAGAAAAUUGUUAGCUUUUAUUUUUGUUUUGUUUGGUUUGCUACUUUUGGGUUGAAUGGUUUUA